ACUGCGUUGGUAAAAUGGUUAAAACGCUACACUUGCUCUGUAGAAUUAAGGGUUGGAUUCCCUUUCAGGGUU
This 72-nucleotide transfer RNA is filed under the name unidentified eubacterium SCB49. It matches the Rfam family "tRNA". Rfam says of the family: Transfer RNA (tRNA) molecules are approximately 80 nucleotides in length. Their secondary structure includes four short double-helical elements and three loops (D, anti-codon, and T loops). Further hydrogen bonds mediate the characteristic L-shaped molecular structure. tRNAs have two regions of fundamental functional importance: the anti-codon, which is responsible for specific mRNA codon recognition, and the 3' end, to which the tRNAs corresponding amino acid is attached (by aminoacyl-tRNA synthetases). tRNAs cope with the degeneracy of the genetic code in two manners: having more than one tRNA (with a specific anti-codon) for a particular amino acid; and 'wobble' base-pairing, i.e. permitting non-standard base-pairing at the 3rd anti-codon position. Lineage: Bacteria; Pseudomonadati; Bacteroidota. The record is from Rfam by way of RNAcentral.